AAUUCUCCUGGAGUUCAGUACUUAAGUUAAUGAAUUUAGUUUAAAUAUAAAUAUGAUAAUAUUCUGAUGAUUGUUCAGGUUAGUUGUUGAUGUUCUUUGGUUCGGAUGGAUAAAAGAUAUUUUAAUGUAAAAAACAGCUGAAUCAUAAAGAACAUUAGCUGCAGUUCAGAUAUUUAUAUUGAACAUGUUUCAGUCACAUGUCAGCUGCUCAGGAUUAACGACCGGGACGACACAGCGCUCGCUCUCGUCCGCCUGUUCCGGAUCAUUCCUGCUCUCCCAGAAUUCCCAGUCCGGGACUCCUCGUUAGCCCAGUUCUGUUCCGAGGGAAGACGAUGGAGGCGGACGGAGAUCAUUCCAAGGACGAAGCUGGCAGGUUAUUCCCAGCAGUGACGGGAGGGGAGAGGCGAGGACGUCACAGUCGGUCCUGUCUCAGCCCAAAGUGGGUCAGCCUCCACACACCUGAGCUGAAAAUGCUAAUUCGUCCCUACUGAAGAAUUUCUGAUGAAACUGCAUCAUUAAUCACUUUUCUCAGCAAUUUGUAUUUGCAAUAAUCCAGGAUUAUCUACACUGAAGCUGCAGGCUUCCUCGUGUUGUGACGAGCGCCGUGGUAACAGACGCCUCCGGCCUGCGUUUCCUCUCAGGGUGAAAUCAUGAGGCGAUGCAGCAGCAGCAGAGCUUCAGCAGGCGUCUGCACACUUUGUCCAGCGUGUCGGACCGACAAACUGCAGACGGAGCCGAAUCACGCUCGUUUACAAGGCGGCCGCCAAAACACAACCUCGGCUUUUCUCGUGAAUGUGCCCGAGUCUGCUGGUGUUCAUGUGCAGAGACCCUGGUGAUGCUACCAGCAAAGUUUCAUGUUGUGUCGAGACUUCUUACUGUUUUAGAAAUACAGAUUUUGUUUCUAACAUUACAGUGCCCGCAGCACUCCCACUGACAAUGAGAUUGACCCGAAAACGAAAAUACAGUAAAUCUUAAAAAUGGCUCUUCCAUCGUAAUUCUGCUUUUAAACAAACCUUUGACUCACAUACAUUCACAAAAGAAGCCGAGGUUUCAUUUGGGUGAGAGCUUCAGUUUCAGGAGCUCUGGUGCCGUUAACGAGCAGCUUCAGUGUUUCAGCUGGUCUGAUCUGUGUUCAGCUCUCUGUGGAGCAAAAACACCCGACAAACCGUCUCUGAUGUUUAAUGAAAGUCAGACGGAGCUUUUAAUCAACACGAUAUCAGAGUUGUGUUGUUCUGUGUUUGAAACAUCAGCCGAACAUUAAGAGUCCAGAGUCCGUCUGCUGUUCGACCUGCAGGAAUAAAGUCGUUCCUCUCGUCUGUUUUUCAUCUUUUGACAGAGAGAAUAAAAGUUUCUCUGAUGGCUGUUAGAAGAGAAAUGUUCGAUGAUUGGACAGAAAAAGCCGACGAUGCGAGGCUCAGCGUGGUCGUCUGUCUCAGGCUGCAGGACGCUGGAUUUAUAUUCUCUGAUGUAACUGAGUGUGACUGGAACUCGUCCUCUGUUCCUGCAGCAGCUGUCUGUACCAUCAGAUAAACCAGCGCUGCGCUGACAGACUGAUGACGAGCAGCCAGGAAACAUCCGGAAACAUCCGGAAACAGCCGGAAACAGCUGGAAACAGCCGGAAACAGCUGGAAACAGCAGGAAACAGCUGGAAACAGCAGGAAACAGCUGGAAACAGCAGGAAACAGCUGGAAACAGCAGGAAACAGCUGGCGCUCAGACGAUGAAUGAGACGCGACGAGAUGGAGGCAGAAAAACUACAGAUGAGAUCAGACGAUGGAAAAUUUAAUGUUUUAUAUAUCACAGAUUAAUGUUUGAUGCUGUUUGUUUUUAAGUUGGAUGCUGAUGAUGAUGAUGAUGAUGAAGAGCUCAUGAAUCUUUCUGUCUUAGAUAUAAAGUUUAGUCACUGUUACUGUCCUCUUACUGACUGUAACAUCCUCCGUGUGAUCUCACAGGGGAAGUCCAGUCCAGUGUUUUUAGUCCCGGGCCUUCUGUUUGCAUGCUUCAGGUUCUGGAUGUGGUUCAGUCGAUCCUCGUGGACCACUUCAGCCGUCAGGGCCAGUAAAAGUUCCUGUUGUUCACACAUCCACAUCUCUGAUCAUUGUGGGAAUAAACCAAAGAAUAAACAAAGA
Molecule: long non-coding RNA, 2128 nt
Organism: Acanthopagrus latus (yellowfin seabream)
Lineage: Eukaryota; Metazoa; Chordata; Actinopteri; Spariformes; Sparidae
Exons: 2
Source: RefSeq, a predicted model, not a curated record